CAUCCUCCAAGGCUAAAUACUCCUGACUGACCGAUAGUGAACCAGUACCGUGAGGGAAAGGCGAAAAGAACCCCGGCGAGGGGAGUGAAAAAGAACCUGAAACCGUGUACGUACAAGCAGUGGGAGCACAGGUUUACCUGUGUGACUGCGUACCUUUUGUAUAAUGGGUCAGCGACUUAUAUUCUGUAGCAAGGUUAACCGUAUAGGGGAGCCGUAGGGAAACCGAGUCUUAACCGGGCGUUAAGUUGCAGGGUAUAGACCCGAAACCCGGUGAUCUAGCCAUGGGCAGGUUGAAGGUUGGGUAACACUAACUGGAGGACCGAACCGACUAAUGUUGAAAAAUUAGCGGAUGACCUGUGGCUGGGGGUGAAAGGCCAAUCAAACCGGGAGAUAGCUGGUUCUCCCCGAAAGCUAUUUAGGUAGCGCCUCGUGAAUUCAUCUCCGGGGGUAGAGCACUGUUUCGGCUAGGGGGCCAUCCCGGCUUACCAACCCGAUGCAAACUGCGAAUACCGGAGAAUGUUAUCACGGGAGACACACGGCGGGUGCUAACGUCCGUCGUGAAGAGGGAAACAACCCAGACCGCCAGCUAAGGUCCCAAAGUCAUGGUUAAGUGGGAAACGAUGUGGGAAGGCCCAGACAGCCAGGAUGUUGGCUUAGAAGCAGCCAUCAUUUAAAGAAAGCGUAAUAGCUCACUGGUCGAGUCGGCCUGCGCGGAAGAUGUAACGGGGCUAAACCAUGCACCGAAGCUGCGGCAGCGACACUAUGUGUUGUUGGGUAGGGGAGCGUUCUGUAAGCCUGUGAAGGUGUGUCGUGAGGCAUGCUGGAGGUAUCAGAAGUGCGAAUGCUGACAUAAGUAACGAUAAAGCGGGUGAAAAGCCCGCUCGCCGGAAGACCAAGGGUUCCUGUCCAACGUUAAUCGGGGCAGGGUGAGUCGACCCCUAAGGCGAGGCCGAAAGGCGUAGUCGAUGGGAAACGGGUUAAUAUUCCCGUACUUGGUGUUACUGCGAAGGGGGGACGGAGAAGGCUAUGUUGGCCGGGCGACGGUUGUCCCGGUUUAAGCGUGUAGGUGUGUGUUCCAGGUAAAUCCGGUUCACUUUAACACUGAGGCGUGAUGACGAGGCACUACGGUGCUGAAGCAACAAAUGCCCUGCUUCCAGGAAAAGCCUCUAAGCAUCAGGUAACAUCAAAUCGUACCCCAAACCGACACAGGUGGUCAGGUAGAGAAUACCAAGGCGCUUGAGAGAACUCGGGUGAAGGAACUAGGCAAAAUGGUGCCGUAACUUCGGGAGAAGGCACGCUGACACGUAGGUGAAGUGAUUUACUCA
Molecule: ribosomal RNA, 1325 nt
Filed under: Salmonella enterica subsp. enterica serovar London
Lineage: Bacteria; Pseudomonadati; Pseudomonadota; Gammaproteobacteria; Enterobacterales; Enterobacteriaceae
Description: partial 23S ribosomal RNA
Rfam family: Bacterial large subunit ribosomal RNA
Source: RNAcentral